GGUUGAUAGGCAGAAAGUGUAAGCGCAGUAAUGCGUUCAGCUGAUCUGUACUAAUCGGUCGUGAGGCUUGACCAU
This 75-nucleotide ribosomal RNA is filed under the name Spirochaetota bacterium. RNAcentral describes it as "Spirochaetes bacterium (freshwater metagenome) partial 23S ribosomal RNA". It matches the Rfam family "Bacterial large subunit ribosomal RNA", at positions 2851 to 2925 of the family's 2925-position model. The record is from RNAcentral. Lineage: Bacteria; Pseudomonadati; Spirochaetota.